Molecule: ribosomal RNA, 253 nt
Filed under: uncultured bacterium
Lineage: Bacteria
Description: partial 16S ribosomal RNA
Rfam family: Bacterial small subunit ribosomal RNA
Source: RNAcentral
GACGAAGGAUGCAAGCGUUAUCCGGAUUCAUUGGGCUUAAAGGGCGCGUAGGUGGCCUUAUAAGUCAGUGGUGAAAUCUCUGGGCUUAACCCAGAAAUUGCCAUUGAUACUGUAGGGCUUGAGUACAGUUGCUGUGGGCGGAAUAUGACAUGUAGUGGUGAAAUACAUAGAGAUGUCAUAGAACACCGAUUGCGAAGGCAGCUCACAAAACUGUAACUGACACUGAGGCGCGAAAGUGCGGGGAUCAAACAGG